UGGCACGCUUCGGGAGGUCUCUGUUGACAACGGGAGAGGAGACGGGUUCAGCUUCACGUUGGCCUCACAUCGUGGCAAAUCAUGGCAUUUGAUCAACAUGUUUCUACACACAACAAGCUAGGAUAUAGAAAAGCGAAUUCCAAUGGGGUCAACGACGCGCCGAGUUAUCAAUGCUUCUGUGUCUUUCUCGGGCGUAUAAACCACGUCUGCGCUGAACUCCCAGAAACAGUGGACCUCAUGAACUGCCAUUUUUCAUGACAAAUCAAACAUAUAAAGGUGUCUUCAAAUCCCCACCAAUCCCCCUUCCCAUUCACCUCCACCCCCCCCCCCCCCCCACCACACCACCACUCGCCCCCCCACACACCUCCACCAUCUUUUUGGGGUCUCUGCCUCUUUUCGAGAGCAAGAAAAGCGCACAUCUUUUCUCUCCCCUGAAUAUUUCCUCACACGGGGCACCAAUUACAUCAUGAAGUUGUAGUAAAUUCACAUAAUGUACAAUGUACGUGCGAAUGUGUGCUGAAUUGUGUGUGUGUAUUAUGAGUGUGUACGUAUGUCUGUUCAAGGAAGGCAUGUUUGGUCUGUCCUCUUAGGUCUACUAUUUAAAUCACCACUGUAAAGGUCAGCAGAAUGGUGACACAAUAUUGUGUGGAUAUCAAGCUUCACGACCCUCCCCUCAGCACUGUGCUGUCCUGUUCACGUGACACCUUCAGAGGGAGAGCCAUGUGUGUUAGCAGUGAUUGGAAGGCAAGGGAACAAGGAACUGAAACACUGGGCUGCAACUUGGGAUACCCGACAAGGGUUCCAACAUGGUCGCCCCCCUAAACCUCACAAGGUUUCUAUCCGAAAUAUUCCCUGGAAAAAAAAGUAACCAAAAGCUACAUUAGCACGAAUGCUUAAUGUUCUCCCACCCAACCUAAACACGCGCCUGAGCUUAACCCUUCCAUAGUUCCCUUACCUUUCGCCCAUUGCUUUGUACAAGCGUUCCCCGAAGCCAGCUGUCUCAUGCCCAUCUGAUAAAGAUCAGGCCUGUUCGCCCCCCCCUCCCUCUCUCACACUCCAUUGCUCUCCAUGACUCUGCACUGUGUGUCCAUGUACACAAAUCGCUUUGUUCCUGUAAGCAAUAAUGAACCUCGUUGAGCCGCGCGUGGAAAGGCUCUCUCUGAGGGUUUGUCUUCACUGAGUAAGGCAGAGCUGUCAGUUAGCCAACUACAAACAUGUCUCCAAAUCUACAGUGAUCUCUUAGAGAGUCUAGCAUACCUUCCGGUUAUCCAGAAAUUUCCGACGUCAGCUUUGUCCAAACACACCCCUUAACCACGAUGCCUUUUUAAAAAACACCUGAGCGGUUCUGAAAAUGUAAAAAAGGGACAAAAGGCGAGGUGAAUUCUACCUAGCCUCAACGACAGGCAAUCUCAUUCAGAAAACUCAAAUCGAUUUCCGAUUGACAUGAGUCUAAAAGGCAUAGGGGGAAAGGGAUCGUUUCAGGCCCCGGCUAAAACGGAUCCAUUCCUAGCUCUCCUGUCACAGGAUGGUUCGACCCAUUAGGCUUCCCUGAAGACAAACCCCUGGCCGGCUCUUCCUCAACCUGCAGGUUAGGUAAAAAAAAAAAAUUAUAUAUAUAACGUUUCAGUAUAUGUAUCUUCUGUGUUCUCGUAGUAUACAUAUGUGUAUCUUAACUGGU
This is a long non-coding RNA of Osmerus eperlanus (European smelt), 1678 nucleotides long. RefSeq lists it as uncharacterized. NCBI's taxonomy places the organism in Eukaryota, Metazoa, Chordata, Actinopteri, Osmeriformes, Osmeridae. The record is from RefSeq and is a predicted model, not a curated record. The transcript has 2 exons.